GACGAACGCUGGCGGCGUGCUUAACACAUGCAAGUCGAGCGGUAAGGCCCUUUCGGGGGUACGACGAGCGGCGAACGGGUGAGUAACACGUGGGUGACCUGCCCUCAGCUCUGGGAUAAGCCUGGGAAACCGGGUCUAAUACUGGAUAUGACUCCAUGACGCAUGUUGGUGGGGUGGAAAGCCUUGUGCGGCUGAGGAUGGGCCCGCGGCCUAUCAGCUUUGUUGGGUGGGGUGACGGCCCUACCAAGGCGACGACGGGUAGCCGGCCUGAGAGGGCGACCGGCCACACUGGGACUGAGACACGGCCCAGACUCCUACGGGAGGCAGCAGUGGGGAAUCUUGCGCAAUGGGCGAAAGCCUGACGCAGCGACGCCGCGUGA
RNAcentral lists this ribosomal RNA (380 nucleotides) under uncultured bacterium. Its description in RNAcentral is "bacterial SSU rRNA". It matches the Rfam family "Bacterial small subunit ribosomal RNA", at positions 28 to 404 of the family's 1533-position model. The record is from RNAcentral.